This 468-nucleotide ribosomal RNA is filed under the name uncultured bacterium. Its description in RNAcentral is "partial 16S ribosomal RNA". It matches the Rfam family "Bacterial small subunit ribosomal RNA", at positions 28 to 507 of the family's 1533-position model. The record is from RNAcentral.
GACGAACGCUGGCGGCGUGCUUAACACAUGCAAGUCGAACGGAAAGGCCCUGCUGGUUUGGGGUGCUCGAGUGGCGAAAGGGUGAGUAACACGUGAGUAACCUGCCCUUGAGUUUGGGAUGACUUCAUGAAACUGGGGCUAAUACCGGAUAGGAGCUCCUGCUGGAGGGUGGGGGUGGGAUAGUUUCGGCGGUUGGGGAUGGACUCGCGGCUUAUCAGCUUGUUGGUGUGGUAAUGGCUUACCAAGGCGUUGACGGGUAGCCGGCCUGAGAGGGUGACCGGCCACACUGGGACUGAGAUACGGCCCAGACUCCUACGGGAGGCAGCAGUGGGGAAUAUUGCACAAUGGGCGGAAGCCGGAUGCAGCAACGCCGCGUGCGGGAUGACGGCCUUCGGGUUGUAAACCGCUUUCAACUGUGACGAAGCGUAAGUGACGGUACUGGGAGAAGAAGCACCGGCUAACUACGUG